GCGGUUUUGAUUUGAAAUUGCCAUGAUGGCAAUGAUGACUGACGUGGGUAGAAAGAGAGAGUCGCGGGCAGGUCAUGUCAGUUGCUUUUUCAAAACUGACAUGACACGUCCGUCAAUUUUGAAAACUGGUGGUUGUGCUUAUUCGCUGAUAUCACCUAGCCCAUGCGCCAUUUUUUCUGCACAGUCGCCUUUUCUCUUUUUUUUUUCUCUUGACUUCCUAUCAUGCCCUGCACACCAAAAACAAAAACCUUCUUCACGUACCAAAAUAAAAUAAAAGAAAACAGACACGAAAAAAAUGAAAAAUAAAAUAAAGCAAUAAAAUACCAGGUUGCCUCCUGGCCUGCGCUCCAGUUAUCGUCGUGAGCACAACGUCUUGCCUUUCUUAGUUUCUUCUUGGUCUUAAAUUCUUCAGAGCUUCUGGAUCAUCCUCCAUCUCUUGCCCAUAGUAGGCCUUCAAACGUUGACCAUUCACCUUAAAAAUGCCCCCGAAUUUGAAAUCCUUGAUCUCCACUGCUCCAUUUGGAUAUUGGGCUUGCACUUCAUAAAGUCCAAUCCAUUUGCUUGAAAGCUUUCCGGACAUGAGUUUGAACCUU
This 593-nucleotide long non-coding RNA is filed under the name Salvia miltiorrhiza (redroot sage). RNAcentral describes it as "long non-coding RNA (SMIL_LNC003172)". The record is from RNAcentral. Lineage: Eukaryota; Viridiplantae; Streptophyta; Magnoliopsida; Lamiales; Lamiaceae.